GACGAACGCUGGCGGCGUGCCUAAUACAUGCAAGUUGAGCGCUGAAGGUUGGUACUUGUACCAACUGGAUGAGCAGCGAACGGGUGAGUAACGCGUGGGGAAUCUGCCUUUGAGCGGGGGACAACAUUUGGAAACGAAUGCUAAUACCGCAUAAAAACUUUAAACACAAGUUUUAAGUUUGAAAGAUGCAAUUGCAUCACUCAAAGAUGAUCCCGCGUUGUAUUAGCUAGUUGGUGAGGUAAAGGCUCACCAAGGCGAUGAUACAUAGUCGACCUGAGAGGGUGAUCGGCCACAUUGGGACUGAGACACGGCCCAAACUCCUACGGGAGGCAGCAGUAGGGAAUCUUCGGCAAUGGACGAAAAGUUCUGACCGAGCAAACGCCCGCGUGAGUGAAAGAAAGGUUUUUCGGAUUCGUAAAAACUUCUGUUG
This 430-nucleotide ribosomal RNA is filed under the name Lactococcus lactis. RNAcentral's name for it is "bacterial SSU rRNA". It matches the Rfam family "Bacterial small subunit ribosomal RNA", at positions 28 to 438 of the family's 1533-position model. The record is from RNAcentral. Lineage: Bacteria; Bacillati; Bacillota; Bacilli; Lactobacillales; Streptococcaceae.